CUACGGAGGGUGCAAGCGUUAAUCGGAAUUACUGGGCGUAAAGCGCGCGUAGGCGGAUUGUUAAGUCUCAUGUGAAAGCCCUGGGCUCAACCUGGGAACUGCAUGGGAUACUGGCAAUCUAGAAUACAGUAGAGGGUAGUGGAAUUUCAGGUGUAGCGGUGAAAUGCGUAGAGAUCUGAAGGAACAUCAGUGGCGAAGGCGACUACCUGGACUGAUAUUGACGCUGAGGUGCGAAAGCGUGGGGAGCAAACGGGAUUAGAAACCCGAGUAGUCC
RNAcentral lists this ribosomal RNA (274 nucleotides) under uncultured bacterium. RNAcentral describes it as "partial 16S ribosomal RNA". It matches the Rfam family "Bacterial small subunit ribosomal RNA", at positions 523 to 796 of the family's 1533-position model. The record is from RNAcentral.